RNAcentral lists this ribosomal RNA (335 nucleotides) under uncultured bacterium. RNAcentral describes it as "bacterial SSU rRNA". It matches the Rfam family "Bacterial small subunit ribosomal RNA", at positions 335 to 672 of the family's 1533-position model. The record is from RNAcentral.
ACUCCUACGGGAGGCAGCAGUCGGGAAUUUUGGGCAAUGGGCGAAAGCCUGACGCAGCGACGCCGCGUGGGGGAUGAAGGUCUUCGGAUUGUAAACCCCUUUCGGCGGGGAAGAUGGAACGGGCAACCGUUCGGACGGUACCUGCAGAAGCAGCCACGGCUAACUUCGUGCCAGCAGCCGCGGUAAUACGAAGGUGGCAAGCGUUGUUCGGAUUCACUGGGCGUACAGGGAGCGUAGGCGGUUAGGUAAGCCCUCCGUGAAAUCUCCGGGCCUAACCCGGAAAGUGCAGAGGGGACUGCUUGGCUAGAGGAUGGGAGAGGAGCGCGGAAUUCCCG